CCCUUAGAUGUUCUGGGCUGCACGCGCGCUACACUGAUGCGUUCAGCGAGUGUACAACCUUGCCCGAUAGGGUUGGGUAACCUUCUGAACACGCAUCGUGAUGGGGAUAGAGUAUUGCAAUUAUUAAUCUUCAACGAGGAAUGCCUAGUAGGCGCAAGUCAUCAGCUUGCGUCGAUUACGUCCCUGCCCUUUGUACACACCGCCCGUCGCUCCUACCGAUUGAAUGAUCCGAUGAAUAUCAUGGAUUGAGGAUGCAAGUAGGUUCGCCUAUCUUCAUCUUCGAGAAGUGAAGUAAAUCUUAUCAUUUAGAGGAAGGAGAAGUCGUAACA
Molecule: ribosomal RNA, 329 nt
Filed under: uncultured eukaryote
Lineage: Eukaryota
Description: partial 18S ribosomal RNA
Rfam family: Eukaryotic small subunit ribosomal RNA
Source: RNAcentral